UCCUCUAGAUUCAGCGGCGGACGGGUGAGUAACACGUGGGCAACCUGCCCUGUAGAUUGGGAUAACUCCGGGAAACCGGGGCUAAUACCGAAUAAUCCUUCGGACCUCAUGGUCCGAUGUUGAAAGGCGGCAUCUCGCUGUCACUACAGGAUGGGCCCGCGGCGCAUUAGCUAGUUGGUGAGGUAACGGCUCACCAAGGCCACGAUGCGUAGCCGACCUGAGAGGGUGAUCGGCCACACUGGGACUGAGACACGGCCCAGACUCCUACGGGAGGCAGCAGUAGGGAAUCUUCCACAAUGGACGAAAGUCUGAUGGAGCAACGCCGCGUGAGUGAAGAAGGUUCUCGGAUCGUAAAACUCUGUUGCGAGGGAAGAACAAGUACCGGAGUAACUGCCGGUACCUUGACGGUACCUCAUUAGAAAGCCACGGCUAACUACGUGCCAGCAGCCGCGGUAAUUCAAGGGC
RNAcentral lists this ribosomal RNA (465 nucleotides) under uncultured Bacillus sp. Its description in RNAcentral is "bacterial SSU rRNA". It matches the Rfam family "Bacterial small subunit ribosomal RNA", at positions 82 to 532 of the family's 1533-position model. The record is from RNAcentral. Lineage: Bacteria; Bacillati; Bacillota; Bacilli; Caryophanales; Bacillaceae.